This 119-nucleotide non-coding RNA is filed under the name Marinomonas ushuaiensis. Its description in RNAcentral is "TPP sequence". It matches the Rfam family "TPP riboswitch aptamer (THI element)". Rfam says of the family: Vitamin B(1) in its active form thiamin pyrophosphate (TPP) is an essential coenzyme that is synthesised by coupling of pyrimidine and thiazole moieties in bacteria. The record is from RNAcentral. Lineage: Bacteria; Pseudomonadati; Pseudomonadota; Gammaproteobacteria; Oceanospirillales; Oceanospirillaceae. RNAcentral also lists the same sequence under 1 other name.
CAUUAUCUCAUGGGGUGUUUUAGUUUUUUAAAAACUAAAACUGAGAAGCGGAAUUGACCGCUAACCCACUGAACCUGAUCCAGAUUAUGCUGGCGUAGGAAUCGAGGUAGCAAAAACGC